CCUACGGGAGGCUGCAGUGAGGAAUAUUGGUCAAUGGGCGCAAGCCUGACCCAGCAACGCCGCGUGAGGGAAGAAGGCUUUCGGGUUGUAAACUUCUUUUCUCAGGGACGAAGCAAGUGACGGUACCUGAGGGAUACGCCACGGCUAACUACUUGCCAGCAGCCGCUGUAAUACGUAGGUCGCAAGCGUUAUACGGAUUUACUGGGUGUAAAGGUCGUGUAGGCGGGACUGCAAGUCAGAUGUGAAAACCAUGGGCUCAACCUAUGGCCUGCAUUUGAUACUGUAGUUCUUGAGUACUGGAGAGGAAGACGGAAUACCUAGUGUAGCGGUGAAAUGCGUAGAUAUUAGGAGGAACACCAGUGGCGAAGGCGGUUUGCUGGACAGCAACUGACGCUGAGGCGCGAAAGCGUGGGGAGCAAACAGGAUUAGAUACCCCGGUAGUC
RNAcentral lists this ribosomal RNA (443 nucleotides) under uncultured bacterium. Its description in RNAcentral is "partial 16S ribosomal RNA". It matches the Rfam family "Bacterial small subunit ribosomal RNA", at positions 338 to 795 of the family's 1533-position model. The record is from RNAcentral.